UAGUCAUAUGCUUGUCUCAAAGACUAAGCCAUGCAUGUCUAAGUAUAAAUGUUAUACAGUGAAACUGCGAAUGGCUCAUUAAAACAGUUAUAGUUUAUUUGAUAAUCAAACUUACAUGGAUAACCGUGGUAAUUCUAGAGCUAAUACAUGCUGUCAAGCCUGACUUUUUGGAAGGGCUGUAUUUAUUAGAUAACAAACCAAUAUUCCUCGUGUUUAUUGUGCUGACUCAUAGUAACUGAUCGAAUCGCAUGGACUUUGUCCGCGAUACAUCAUUCAA
Molecule: ribosomal RNA, 277 nt
Filed under: uncultured eukaryote
Lineage: Eukaryota
Description: partial 18S ribosomal RNA
Rfam family: Eukaryotic small subunit ribosomal RNA
Source: RNAcentral